Molecule: ribosomal RNA, 210 nt
Filed under: uncultured Actinomycetales bacterium
Lineage: Bacteria; Bacillati; Actinomycetota; Actinomycetes; Actinomycetales
Description: partial 16S ribosomal RNA
Rfam family: Bacterial small subunit ribosomal RNA
Source: RNAcentral
AACCUCGCCUUGACUUUGGGAUAACUUCAGGAAACUGGGGCUAAUACCGGAUAGGAGCUCCUGCUGCAUGGUGGGGGUUGGAAAGUUUCGGCGGUUGGGGAUGGACUCGCGGCUUAUCAGCUUGUUGGUGGGGUAGUGGCUUACCAAGGCUUUGACGGGUAGCCGGCCUGAGAGGGUGACCGGCCACAUUGGGACUGAGAUACGGCCCAG